Molecule: non-coding RNA, 111 nt
Organism: Acanthosepion pharaonis
Lineage: Eukaryota; Metazoa; Mollusca; Cephalopoda; Sepiida; Sepiidae
Source: the annotation of a GenBank genome assembly
UAUGGCCACAUCACGUUGAAAUAUCGGUUCACGUAAGAUCACCGAAGUUAAGCAACGUCGAGUUUGGUCAGUACCCAGAUGGGUGGCCGCUUGGGAUAUGCAGGUGGUGUA